This 253-nucleotide ribosomal RNA is filed under the name uncultured bacterium. RNAcentral describes it as "partial 16S ribosomal RNA". It matches the Rfam family "Bacterial small subunit ribosomal RNA", at positions 524 to 776 of the family's 1533-position model. The record is from RNAcentral.
GACGUAGGGUGCAAGCGUUGUCCGGAUUUAUUGGGCGUAAAGAGCUCGUAGGCGGCUUGUUGCGUCGACUGUGAAAACCCGCGGCUUAACUGCGGGCUUGCAGUCGAUACGGGCAGGCUAGAGUUCGGUAGGGGAGACUGGAAUUCCUGGUGUAGCGGUGAAAUGCGUAGAUAUCGGGAGGAACACCUGUGGCGAAGGCGGCCCCCUGGUUGGAUACUGACGCUGAUACGCGAAAGCGUGGGGAGCAAACAGG